Cherax quadricarinatus is the source of this 118-nucleotide non-coding RNA. The record is from RefSeq and is a predicted model, not a curated record. Lineage: Eukaryota; Metazoa; Arthropoda; Malacostraca; Decapoda; Parastacidae.
AAAAAGGGGGGGGGGGGUUUUUUCCCUUUAAAGGUUUUAAAAUUUUAAAAAAUUUUCCCCAAAAUUUUUUUUUUGGGGGGGGAAAAAAGGGUUUUUUUUUUUUUUUUUUUUCCCCCCA